RNAcentral lists this long non-coding RNA (313 nucleotides) under Mytilus galloprovincialis (Mediterranean mussel). Lineage: Eukaryota; Metazoa; Mollusca; Bivalvia; Mytilida; Mytilidae. The record is from RNAcentral.
CUGGUGUUUUAUUAUAAUCAUACACUUGUAUACUUAUUUCUGCAUAUUUUAUUUUUGAUAAUGUUGAACACGAUGCAGUAUGGAGUGAUGUGCGUGUAUAUUUUUAACUUUUAUAUCCUCGCCUUUUGAUAAGAUACUUUUUAAUAUUGCGUCAUUGUCCACACUUGUAGAUUCCAACAUUGAACAUUGUUUUCAUUUUGUCGAUGUCGACUAUAAAUUUGCAAGUAGGUAAUAAAUUACUUAGUCCGUGACUAUAAUCGAUGAUAUAAAAAGCAUUACGAAUCAAAAAGAUGAAUACACCGUAAAAUACUCA